This 459-nucleotide ribosomal RNA is filed under the name uncultured bacterium. RNAcentral describes it as "partial 16S ribosomal RNA". It matches the Rfam family "Bacterial small subunit ribosomal RNA", at positions 338 to 795 of the family's 1533-position model. The record is from RNAcentral.
CCUACGGGUGGCAGCAGUGAGGAAUAUUGGUCAAUGGCCGGAAGGCUGAACCAGCCAAGCCGCGUGAAGGACGAAGGUGCCAAGCAUUGUAAACUUCUUUUGUCAAGGGACAAAAUCAGGCGCGAGAGCCUGACCGAGGGUACGUGAAGAAAAAGCAUCGGCUAACUCCGUGCCAGCAGCCGCGGUAAUACGGAGGAAGCGAGCGUUAUCCGGAUUUGUUGGGUUCACAGGGUGCGUAGGCGGGCUGUUAAGUCAGCGGUAAAAGCCCGGGGCUCAACCCCGGCGGGCCGUGGAAACUGGCUGUCUUGCGCUGUCGCGCGGUAUGCGGAAUGCGCAGUGUAGCGGUGAAAUGCUUAGCUAUUGCGCAGAACUCCGCUUGCGAAGGCAGCAUACCGGCGGCGAUCUGACGCUGAGGCACGAACGCGUGGGUAUCGAACAGGAUUAGAUACCCCUGUAGUC